RNAcentral lists this ribosomal RNA (274 nucleotides) under uncultured bacterium. Its description in RNAcentral is "partial 16S ribosomal RNA". It matches the Rfam family "Bacterial small subunit ribosomal RNA", at positions 523 to 796 of the family's 1533-position model. The record is from RNAcentral.
CUACGGAGGGUGCAAGCGUUACUCGGAAUCACUGGGCGUAAAGCGCGCGCAGGCGGCUAUUUAAGUUGGAUGUGAAAGCCUACGGCUCAACCGUAGAACUGCAUCCAAAACUAUUUAGCUAGAGUGUGGGAGAGGAAGAUGGAAUUAGUUGUGUAGGGGUAAAAUCCGUAGAGAUAACUAGGAAUACCAAAAGCGAAGGCAAUCUUCUGGAACACUACUGACGCUGAGGCGCGAAAGCGUGGGGAGCAAACGGGAUUAGAUACCCCUGUAGUCC